GGGGCCUGCAGUCAGGUCCGGAGCUCCAGAUGGCGAGCUGCGUGGAGGGUGAGGAGGAGUGCCUGAGGCUUAGAGCCGCGUGGGGAGGGUCCCGGUGCGCCGGAGGAGGGCGGACUGGCGGGAGCGAUCUGGGAGAGAGGCUCAGGCUGAGGUCACAGGCAGGGAAGAGCUCCUGCCCUUGAGGGAGAGGCCGGCUAGCUGGAGACGGUCAGUAAAGGACACUUGCCUCUUCCAAUCGUCGUUCAGAAACUAGUGAAGAUGACACACAAGUAGGAUGAUAUUAAAAUACCAGCCUUCCACAUAUACAAAGUAGUUUGGAAGACAUGCCUGAGAUCUGCAAUCAAGAGGGGAAUACUGACCCACCCCUAAAUCAGACAAACAUCUCCCUCAACCCCUGACCAGAUGGGCAGCUGCAGCCUCCAGGCCACAGAGCUGCCUCACCGACCACCAUGCAGCCAAGUGCAGGUAAGAAGAUACCACCAGCCUGUGGACCCCACAAAGUGUACUCAGAGGAGCCUGAGCAUACUUUACCCUGUCCAUUCUCCCAAAUUCACCAAUCCAUACUUCGCUGGGAGUAGAAAACAGUUUUUCUCCACUGAUGUUCCUCCACGUGGAAACACAAAGAGUGGGAAUUAGGGCUCCAGCCUACAGUAUGGACAUCUGAAACCCUGAGUCUGGCAAAGCCAAGGGACAGAAGCGGUUUCAGUUGGAGCACACUUUGAGUUUUGAUAUUUUACUGUACUGGAAUUUUUAUGAGCAAAAUAACAAUUUUUUAAAAAUAUCUUGGAAAGAAAAAAAUGUAAAAAUCCAUCUGAGAAUUCACAGGUAAGACUUUCUAGAGACAGUCGUGAGAAAAAAUAAUACUUCUACUUGCACCCUACCAAUUCCAACUCAUUUAAUAAAUUGGAUACAGAAGGCUCCAAAGUUUUUGGCAUGAACAACUGGGCACAUGAUGGUGUUGUUUACAAAAGUAGAGAAGGUUUUGGGGGAAAUUUCAACUUAGAUUGGAAACAUGUUAAGACAGAUGCUCAUCAGACAUGUAAGUGAGUACACUAGAGUAGACUUGUGUUCAGGAGAGAGGUCAAGGCUAGAGAAAGGAAUUUAGGAGUUACCUAUUUUUAGGUGAUGUUUGAGAAUAGGAGAUUGGACAAGAUCAACUAGAAAGUGAGUGUUCCAAAGAAGAUUUUCUGGGUGAGUCCUGGGGCAGGAAUAGUUUCCAGUUCAGAAGAGAAGUAGCCAGAAAAACAGGAGAAAAACCAGGGUAAUGUGGAGUCAGGGAAGCCAGGCAAAGACAUGGUUGCGUAAAGGUUUUAGAGGAAUUG
This is a long non-coding RNA of Felis catus (domestic cat), 1322 nucleotides long. RefSeq lists it as uncharacterized. Lineage: Eukaryota; Metazoa; Chordata; Mammalia; Carnivora; Felidae. The transcript is spliced from 2 exons. The record is from RefSeq and is a predicted model, not a curated record.